AAACUGGACACCGAUAAUCACCAGAGCACGCAUCAACUAAACACCCUGCUCCAGGCCAGAUAAAUAGACCUCUGAACCAGUAUGGGGGAGAGACAACCAGAAGCAGAAAUACAGUCAGGCUGGAAGCUCCAACCCCCCAGCUCCAACCCCCCAGGUUUUCACCAAACCAGCCUCAGGACUGAAGACUGGCGAGUAUUUUCCUCAACCGUAGACUGGUUUACCCUUCUGCUAUUCCGGGUACAGCAACAGUAGGGACACAUAUGGUAUAGAUACAGUACAGAUUAUAUAGUGUAGCUUUCAACCGGUAAACUACUGUUUAGCUUUAAGAUUUAUGUGUGGGUUGUGCCCAUUUUCAGUACCUAGAACCUGUGCCCCUAUUGUGUGCUGACCCUCAUGGCAUCACAAUAUGUAUAGUUUAUAUUUGUGCUACCUGAAUGUAAUAUUUUGCACUUUUAUUUUAUGUUAUUACAUGUCA
RNAcentral lists this long non-coding RNA (475 nucleotides) under Lepisosteus oculatus (spotted gar). RNAcentral describes it as "lncRNA (ENSLOCG00000022055.1)". Lineage: Eukaryota; Metazoa; Chordata; Actinopteri; Semionotiformes; Lepisosteidae. The record is from RNAcentral.